GUAGGGGGCAAGCGUGGUCCGGAUUUAUUGGGCUUAAAGAGCGUGUAGGCGGCUAGAUAGGUCCGUUGUGAAAACUCGAGGCUCAACCUCGAGACGUCGAUGGAAACCAUCUAGCUAGAGUCCGGAAGAGGAGAGUGGAAUUCCUGGUGUAGCGGUGAAACGCGCAGAUAUCAGGAAGAACACCCGUGGCGAAGGCGGCUCUCUGGUACGUGACUGACGCUGAGACGCGAAAGCGUGGGGAGCGAACAGGAUUAGAUACCCUGGUAGUCCACGCUGUAAACGAUGGAUACUAGGCGUGGCUUGUAUCGACCCGAGCCGUGCCGGAGCUAACGCGUUAAGCAUCCCGCCUGGGGAGUACGCACGCAAGUGUG
Molecule: ribosomal RNA, 371 nt
Filed under: uncultured bacterium
Lineage: Bacteria
Description: bacterial SSU rRNA
Rfam family: Bacterial small subunit ribosomal RNA
Source: RNAcentral